Molecule: non-coding RNA, 28 nt
Filed under: Mus musculus (house mouse)
Lineage: Eukaryota; Metazoa; Chordata; Mammalia; Rodentia; Muridae
Source: RNAcentral
UUGCCUGCAUUUAAGUACGCAUGUGAUA